UACGGGGGGUGCGAGCGUUGUCCGGUAUCACUGGGCGUAAAGGGCGCGUAGGUGGUUUGAUAAGGGUGUGGUGAAGGUCCGGGGCUCAACCCCGGAUCUGCCGUGCCGACUGUCAAACUCGAGGACUGUAGAGGCAGACGGAAUUCCGGGUGUAGCGGUGGAAUGCGUAGAGAUCCGGAGGAAGACCGGUGGCGAAGGCGGUCUGCUGGGCAGUUUCUGACACUGAGGCACGAAGGCCAGGGGAGCAAACGGG
RNAcentral lists this ribosomal RNA (253 nucleotides) under uncultured bacterium. RNAcentral describes it as "partial 16S ribosomal RNA". It matches the Rfam family "Bacterial small subunit ribosomal RNA", at positions 524 to 776 of the family's 1533-position model. The record is from RNAcentral.